This 459-nucleotide ribosomal RNA is filed under the name uncultured bacterium. Its description in RNAcentral is "partial 16S ribosomal RNA". It matches the Rfam family "Bacterial small subunit ribosomal RNA", at positions 338 to 795 of the family's 1533-position model. The record is from RNAcentral.
CCUACGGGUGGCUGCAGUGAGGAAUAUUGGUCAAUGGCCGGAAGGCUGAACCAGCCAAGCCGCGUGAAGGACGAAGGUGCCAAGCAUUGUAAACUUCUUUUGUCAAGGGACAAAAUCUGGCUCGAGAGCCUGACCGAGGGUACUUGAAGAAAAAGCAUCGGCUAACUCCGUGCCAGCAGCCGCGGUAAUACGGGGGAUGCGAGCGUUAUCCGGAUUUAUUGGGUUUAAAGGGUGCGUAGGCGGGCUGUUAAGGCAGCGGUCAAAGCCCGGGGCUCAACCCCGGCGAGCCGUUGAAACUGGCAGUCGUGAGAUGGAGAGAGGUAUGCGGAAUGCGCAGUGGAGCGGUGAAAUGCUUAGAUAUUGCGCAGAACUACGAGUGCGAAGGCAGCAUACCGGCGGCGAGCUGACGCUGAGGCACGAAAGCGUGGGUAUCGAACAGGAUUAGAGACCCGGGUAGUC